RNAcentral lists this long non-coding RNA (1922 nucleotides) under Sus scrofa (pig). Its description in RNAcentral is "lncRNA (ENSSSCG00015036702.1)". Lineage: Eukaryota; Metazoa; Chordata; Mammalia; Artiodactyla; Suidae. The record is from RNAcentral.
UUUUGAGUUUGUAUAUAUUUGUGGUAUACUCCUAGGUACUUGCCUGAAAACUAGCCCACAUAAACAACUUUGGGAAAUUAAUAUUGCUGUGGAAAUUAUUUGCUCUUAGCAUUCUGAUUGCAGUUGUUAAAUGUAGGAUUUUUGUCUGUGGAGUUUGGGGUUAAAGUCUGUUAUUACUGUCAGAAGCCAGUUACUGCAGAAUUUUCUCUUCUCCCUCACAACAUUGUGGUUUUGUGAAACGUAGGACCAUUGUUAGAAGGCAGGUGUGCUAUUUUAUUCUCUCCACGGCAUUUGGUUCAAUGCUUUGUACAUAAACUCUGCAAAUUGCUAUUUCUUUCUUCAGUUGCUGUAAUAAAUUUGAUUAUAUCACUUCCUUACUUAAAUCCCUUCAAUAUUUCCUGUUAGAUUUAGAAUAAACCCUACUUGGGCCUUCCCCAACUUCUCCAGUUUUUAAUGUCACUUUUACAUUCCAGCCACUCUGGUGUGCUUUCUAACAAAAACUUUUUGUGAAUGUUGUUUCUUCCUAGGACAUGCCCUCUAAUUUUGAAAUGACUAACUUCUUAUCCUCAAAAUUUUGACUUAAGCUUCUGGAAAAAAUAACUCCCCUCUAAUAUUUUAUCACAGCACUGUGUUUAUUUCUACCAUUGCUAUUCCUAUAAUUUAUUUCUAUCAAGGAUGCAUUUGACCAUAAGUAAAACAAUUUUUGGAAUUCCCUUGUGGUUCAGUGGGCUAAGGAUCCACUCUUGUCACUGCUAUGGCUCAGGUCAUUGCUGUAGUGCAGGUUGGAUCCCUAGCCCCGGAACUUCUCACUCUGUGGGCAGGGCCAAAAAAAUUUAAAAGAAAAAAAGGGGGGGACUUCCCAUUGUGGCUCAAUGGGUUAAGAACCCAGUUAGUAUCCAUGAGGAUGUAGGUUUGAUCCCUGGCCUCAGUGGGUUAAGGAUCCAGCAUGGCUGUGGCAUAGGCUGGCAGCUGCGGCUCUGAUUCCCAGCUGACCCCUAGCCCAGGAACUUCCAUAUGUUGGGGAUACAGCCCUAAAAAGAAAAGGGAAAAAAGUGGCUUAAACAGAGCUUAUUUUUCUCUUAUAACGGACAAACAAUAGACAGUAUAGGGCUGGUACAGUGGCUCAAGGAUAUGGACCCAAGUUUCCUGAGUCUCCACCCUCCUCAUAUUGGCUUUGUCAUCUCCUCAUUAUAAGAUAGCCAUGGGAGCACCAACUUUGUAAUGCAGCACCAAACUGUCUGCCUUAAAGACAAGGAAGGAAAAGUGGUGAUGGCUUAUCUUGGAUUGGAUUCACCUCAAUACAGGCCCUGAGACAAGGACACAAACAAAGAUAGUUUGUGAAGAAACUGGUGGAAUAGUGGGAAAGUGAGACAGGAAAUGGGGGGGGGGGGCUGGCUAAUCAGUAAAGGAUUCAUUAUUAAGCCCCUUUACUCGUUAGGGUUACUGAAGCUGGUCCCACUGGGAAGCUCCUAACCAGUAUAAAACAUGUGCCUUAAAAUCAUCCUACCUGAAGGACAAAAGCUGGAUAUUUACAUCUCCUUUUAGUCAUUGAUUGAGUGUUCCUAGUGCAGAGGGGUUGUAGGCAGCAAAACAGAUUUCGUUUUGCACAGGUAGAAAAACCAUCAGACAUAGAAAAUGGAAUACUGGAGUUCCCGUCGUGGCGCAGUGGUUAACGAAUCCGACUAGGAACCAUGAGGACGCAGGUUCAAUCCCUCACCUUGCUCAGUGGGUUAAGGAUCCGGCGUUGCCGUGAGCUGUGGUGUAGGUUGCAGACGCAGCUCGGAUCCCGAGUUGCUGUGGCUCUGGCGUAGGCCGGUGGCUACAGCUCUGAUUCGACCCCUAGCCUGGGAACCUCCAUAUGCCGCGGGAGCGGCCCAAAGAAAUAGCAAAAAGACAAAAAAAAAAAAAAAAAAAAAAAAAAA